RNAcentral lists this ribosomal RNA (450 nucleotides) under uncultured bacterium. Its description in RNAcentral is "bacterial SSU rRNA". It matches the Rfam family "Bacterial small subunit ribosomal RNA", at positions 337 to 803 of the family's 1533-position model. The record is from RNAcentral.
UCCUACGGGAGGCUGCAGUGGGGAAUCUUAGACAAUGGGGGAAACCCUGAUCUAGCCAUGCCGCGUGAUCGAUGAAGGCCUUAGGGUUGUAAAGAUCUUUCAGGUGGGAAGAUAAUGACUGUACCACCAGAAGAAGCCCCGGCUAACUCCGUGCCAGCAGCCGCGGUAAUACGGAGGGGGCUAGCGUUGUUCGGAAUUACUGGGCGUAAAGCGCACGUAGGCGGAUCAGAAAGUCAGAGGUGAAAUCCCAGGGCUCAACCUUGGAACUGCCUUUGAAACUCCUGAUCUUGAGGUCGAGAGAGGUGAGUGGAAUUCCGAGUGUAGAGGUGAAAUUCGUAGAUAUUCGGAGGAACACCAGUGGCGAAGGCGGCUCACUGGCUCGAUACUGACGCUGAGGUGCGAAGUACGGGGGGAGCAAACAGGAUUAGAUACCCUUGUAGUCGAAUUCUU